GGCUGAUCCGAGUGCAGCGGUGUUUACAACUAAUUGAUCACAACCAGUUACAGAUGUCUUUGCUCCUUCUCCACUCCCACUGCUUCACUUAACCGCCUGGG
This 101-nucleotide Y RNA is filed under the name Aotus nancymaae (Ma's night monkey). RNAcentral's name for it is "Y RNA (ENSANAG00000000625.1)". It matches the Rfam family "Y RNA". From Rfam's summary of the family: Y RNAs are components of the Ro ribonucleoprotein particle (Ro RNP), in association with Ro60 and La proteins. The Y RNAs and Ro60 and La proteins are well conserved, but the function of the Ro RNP is not known. Lineage: Eukaryota; Metazoa; Chordata; Mammalia; Primates; Aotidae. The record is from Rfam by way of RNAcentral.